RNAcentral lists this ribosomal RNA (434 nucleotides) under uncultured bacterium. RNAcentral's name for it is "partial 16S ribosomal RNA". It matches the Rfam family "Bacterial small subunit ribosomal RNA", at positions 29 to 507 of the family's 1533-position model. The record is from RNAcentral.
AACGAACGCUGGCGGCAUGCCUAACACAUGCAAGUCGAACGAGACCUUCGGGUCUAGUGGCGCACGGGUGCGUAACGCGUGGGAACCUGCCCUUAGGUUCGGAAUAACUCCCCGAAAGGGGUGCUAAUACCGGAUAAUGUCUUCGGACCAAAGAUUUAUCGCCUUUGGAUGGGCCCGCGUUGGAUUAGCUAGUUGGUAGGGUAAAAGCCUACCAAGGCGACGAUCCAUAGCUGGUCUGAGAGGAUGAUCAGCCACACUGGGACUGAGACACGGCCCAGACUCCUACGGGAGGCAGCAGUGGGGAAUAUUGGACAAUGGGCGAAAGCCUGAUCCAGCAAUGCCGCGUGAGUGAUGAAGGCCUUAGGGUUGUAAAGCUCUUUUACCCCGGGAUGAUAAUGACAGUACCGGGAGAAUAAGCGCCGGCUAACUCCGUG